RNAcentral lists this transfer-messenger RNA (355 nucleotides) under Candidatus Methylomirabilota bacterium. It matches the Rfam family "transfer-messenger RNA". Rfam says of the family: Bacterial tmRNA, also known as 10Sa RNA or SsrA, is named for its dual tRNA and mRNA-like properties. Its role is to liberate the mRNA from a stalled ribosome. Lineage: Bacteria; Methylomirabilota (SeqCode). The record is from RNAcentral.
GGGGGCGCAACGGUCUCGACGGGGAUCGGGGAGAUAGAGAUGGCAUGCCGAGGUUCCAUGGCCUCGUAAAACACGUGGAAAACAAUUAGUCGCGAACCUAAGCGAACUACCCUUAGCUGCUUAAGCAGCUAACGCCUCUUGCCUCUCACCUGUUGGAGGUAAGCCGGGCGUCAGAAAGGCAGGUUAGCCCUUGUGGACGAGCUCAGGAAAACAGGGGCGAAAUCGAUAUGAGCUGGUUCCGUUCAUAGCCUGCCUGUGGGCGAUGGGCGGGACGAGAUGAAAAUACAGGAAAAGCAUGAAGGCAUCUCUAUUGAAUCAUCUCCGGACGCGGGUUCGACUCCCGCCGCCUCCACCA